RNAcentral lists this ribosomal RNA (2902 nucleotides) under Escherichia coli HVH 194 (4-2356805). RNAcentral describes it as "bacterial LSU rRNA". It matches the Rfam family "Bacterial large subunit ribosomal RNA". The record is from RNAcentral. Lineage: Bacteria; Pseudomonadati; Pseudomonadota; Gammaproteobacteria; Enterobacterales; Enterobacteriaceae.
UUAAGCGACUAAGCGUACACGGUGGAUGCCCUGGCAGUCAGAGGCGAUGAAGGACGUGCUAAUCUGCGAUAAGCGUCGGUGAGGUGAUAUGAACCGUUAUAACCGGCGAUUUCCGAAUGGGGAAACCCAGUGUGUUUCGACACACUAUCAUUAACUGAAUCCAUAGGUUAAUGAGGCGAACCGGGGGAACUGAAACAUCUAAGUACCCCGAGGAAAAGAAAUCAACCGAGAUUCCCCCAGUAGCGGCGAGCGAACGGGGAGGAGCCCAGAGCCUGAAUCAGUGUGUGUGUUAGUGGAAGCGUCUGGAAAGGCGCGCGAUACAGGGUGACAGCCCCGUACACAAAAAUGCACAUGCUGUGAGCUCGAUGAGUAGGGCGGGACACGUGGUAUCCUGUCUGAAUAUGGGGGGACCAUCCUCCAAGGCUAAAUACUCCUGACUGACCGAUAGUGAACCAGUACCGUGAGGGAAAGGCGAAAAGAACCCCGGCGAGGGGAGUGAAAAAGAACCUGAAACCGUGUACGUACAAGCAGUGGGAGCCUCUUAAUGGGGUGACUGCGUACCUUUUGUAUAAUGGGUCAGCGACUUAUAUUCUGUAGCAAGGUUAACCGAAUAGGGGAGCCGAAGGGAAACCGAGUCUUAACUGGGCGUUAAGUUGCAGGGUAUAGACCCGAAACCCGGUGAUCUAGCCAUGGGCAGGUUGAAGGUUGGGUAACACUAACUGGAGGACCGAACCGACUAAUGUUGAAAAAUUAGCGGAUGACUUGUGGCUGGGGGUGAAAGGCCAAUCAAACCGGGAGAUAGCUGGUUCUCCCCGAAAGCUAUUUAGGUAGCGCCUCGUGAAUUCAUCUCCGGGGGUAGAGCACUGUUUCGGCAAGGGGGUCAUCCCGACUUACCAACCCGAUGCAAACUGCGAAUACAGGAGAAUGUUAUCACGGGAGACACACGGCGGGUGCUAACGUCCGUCGUGAAGAGGGAAACAACCCAGACCGCCAGCUAAGGUCCCAAAGUCAUGGUUAAGUGGGAAACGAUGUGGGAAGGCCCAGACAGCCAGGAUGUUGGCUUAGAAGCAGCCAUCAUUUAAAGAAAGCGUAAUAGCUCACUGGUCGAGUCGGCCUGCGCGGAAGAUGUAACGGGGCUAAACCAUGCACCGAAGCUGCGGCAGCGACACUAUGUGUUGUUGGGUAGGGGAGCGUUCUGUAAGCCUGUGAAGGUGGCCUGUGAGGGUGGCUGGAGGUAUCAGAAGUGCGAAUGCUGACAUAAGUAACGAUAAAGCGGGUGAAAAGCCCGCUCGCCGGAAGACCAAGGGUUCCUGUCCAACGUUAAUCGGGGCAGGGUGAGUCGACCCCUAAGGCGAGGCCGAAAGGCGUAGUCGAUGGGAAACAGGUUAAUAUUCCUGUACUUGGUGUUACUGCGAAGGGGGGACGGAGAAGGCUAUGUUGGCCGGGCGACGGUUGUCCCGGUUUAAGCGUGUAGGCUGGUUUUCCAGGCAAAUCCGGAAAACCAAGGCUGAGGCGUGAUGACGAGGCACUACGGUGCUGAAGCGACAAAUGCCCUGCUUCCAGGAAAAGCCUCUAAGCAUCAGGUAACAUCAAAUCGUACCCCAAACCGACACAGGUGGUCAGGUAGAGAAUACCAAGGCGCUUGAGAGAACUCGGGUGAAGGAACUAGGCAAAAUGGUGCCGUAACUUCGGGAGAAGGCACGCUGAUAUGUAGGUGAAGCGACUUGCUCGUGGAGCUGAAAUCAGUCGAAGAUACCAGCUGGCUGCAACUGUUUAUUAAAAACACAGCACUGUGCAAACACGAAAGUGGACGUAUACGGUGUGACGCCUGCCCGGUGCCGGAAGGUUAAUUGAUGGGGUUAGCGGUAACGCGAAGCUCUUGAUCGAAGCCCCGGUAAACGGCGGCCGUAACUAUAACGGUCCUAAGGUAGCGAAAUUCCUUGUCGGGUAAGUUCCGACCUGCACGAAUGGCGUAAUGAUGGCCAGGCUGUCUCCACCCGAGACUCAGUGAAAUUGAACUCGCUGUGAAGAUGCAGUGUACCCGCGGCAAGACGGAAAGACCCCGUGAACCUUUACUAUAGCUUGACACUGAACAUUGAGCCUUGAUGUGUAGGAUAGGUGGGAGGCUUUGAAGUGUGGACGCCAGUCUGCAUGGAGCCGACCUUGAAAUACCACCCUUUAAUGUUUGAUGUUCUAACGUUGGCCCCUAAUCGGGGUUGCGGACAGUGUCUGGUGGGUAGUUUGACUGGGGCGGUCUCCUCCUAAAGAGUAACGGAGGAGCACGAAGGUUGGCUAAUCCUGGUCGGACAUCAGGAGGUUAGUGCAAUGGCAUAAGCCAGCUUGACUGCGAGCGUGACGGCGCGAGCAGGUGCGAAAGCAGGUCAUAGUGAUCCGGUGGUUCUGAAUGGAAGGGCCAUCGCUCAACGGAUAAAAGGUACUCCGGGGAUAACAGGCUGAUACCGCCCAAGAGUUCAUAUCGACGGCGGUGUUUGGCACCUCGAUGUCGGCUCAUCACAUCCUGGGGCUGAAGUAGGUCCCAAGGGUAUGGCUGUUCGCCAUUUAAAGUGGUACGCGAGCUGGGUUUAGAACGUCGUGAGACAGUUCGGUCCCUAUCUGCCGUGGGCGCUGGAGAACUGAGGGGGGCUGCUCCUAGUACGAGAGGACCGGAGUGGACGCAUCACUGGUGUUCGGGUUGUCAUGCCAAUGGCACUGCCCGGUAGCUAAAUGCGGAAGAGAUAAGUGCUGAAAGCAUCUAAGCACGAAACUUGCCCCGAGAUGAGUUCUCCCUGACUCCUUGAGAGUCCUGAAGGAACGUUGAAGACGACGACGUUGAUAGGCCGGGUGUGUAAGCGCAGCGAUGCGUUGAGCUAACCGGUACUAAUGAACCGUGAGGCUUAACCUU